ACACAUGCAAGUCGAGGGGAAACGACAUCGAAAGCUUGCUUUUGAUGGGCGUCGACCGGCGCACGGGUGAGUAACGCGUAUCCAACCUGCCCACCACUUGGGGAUAACCUUGCGAAAGUAAGACUAAUACCCAAUGAUAUCUCUAGAAGACAUCUGAAAGAGAUUAAAGAUUUAUCGGUGAUGGAUGGGGAUGCGUCUGAUUAGCUUGUUGGCGGGGUAACGGCCCACCAAGGCGACGAUCAGUAGGGGUUCUGAGAGGAAGGUCCCCCACAUUGGAACUGAGACACGGUCCAAACUCCUACGGGAGGCAGCAGUGAGGAAUAUUGGUCAAUGGACGAGAGUCUGAACCAGCCAAGUAGCGUGCAGGAAGACGGCCCUAUGGGUUGUAAACUGCUUUUAUAAGGGAAUAAAGUGAGUCUCGUGAGACUUUUUGCAUGUACCUUAUGAAUAAGGACCGGCUAAUUCCGUGCCAGCAGCCGCGGUAAUACGGAAGGUCCGGGCGUUAUCCGGAUUUAUUGGGUUUAAAGGGAGCGUAGGCCGGAGAUUAAGCGUGUUGUGAAAUGUAGACGCUCAACGUCUGCACUGCAGCGCGAACUGGUUUCCUUGAGUACGCACAAAGUGGGCGGAAUUCGUGGUGUAGCGGUGAAAUGCUUAGAUAUCACGAAGAACUCCGAUUGCGAAGGCAGCUCACUGGAGCGCAACUGACGCUGAAGCUCGAAAGUGCGGGUAUCGAACAGGAUUAGAUACCCUGGUAGUCCGCACGGUAAACGAUGGAUGCCCGCUGUUGGUCUGAAUAGGUCAGCGGCCAAGCGAAAGCAUUAAGCAUCCCACCUGGGGAGUACGCCGGCAACGGUGAAACUCAAAGGAAUUGACGGGGGCCCGCACAAGCGGAGGAACAUGUGGUU
RNAcentral lists this ribosomal RNA (905 nucleotides) under uncultured bacterium. RNAcentral's name for it is "bacterial SSU rRNA". It matches the Rfam family "Bacterial small subunit ribosomal RNA", at positions 51 to 946 of the family's 1533-position model. The record is from RNAcentral.